Molecule: non-coding RNA, 130 nt
Organism: Oryctolagus cuniculus (rabbit)
Lineage: Eukaryota; Metazoa; Chordata; Mammalia; Lagomorpha; Leporidae
Source: Ensembl
GGCCUGUCUCCCUUGGGGCUGUGGGGUCCCUUUUCUUCUCAGCCAGGACUGGAGGCUGAGAUUAGCCCUGUUGAGGCCAUCGUCGGGACUGCACGAGCUGGGCAGCCUCAUUUUCCUACCUCAUACAUCU